ACGUAGGGUGCGAGCGUUAAUCGGAAUUACUGGGCGUAAAGCGUGCGCAGGCGGUUGGCUAAGACAGGUGUGAAAUCCCCGGGCUUAACUUGGGAAGGGCGCUUGAGACUGCCGGACUGGAGUACGGCAGAGGGGGGUGGAAUUCCCCGUGUAGCGGUGGAAUGCGUAGAGAUGUGGAGGAACACCGGUGGCGCAGGCAGCCCCCUGGGCCGAUACUGACGCUCAUGCACGAAAGCGUGGGGAGCAAACAG
This 251-nucleotide ribosomal RNA is filed under the name uncultured prokaryote. RNAcentral's name for it is "partial 16S ribosomal RNA". It matches the Rfam family "Bacterial small subunit ribosomal RNA", at positions 525 to 775 of the family's 1533-position model. The record is from RNAcentral.